Molecule: ribosomal RNA, 883 nt
Filed under: Escherichia coli
Lineage: Bacteria; Pseudomonadati; Pseudomonadota; Gammaproteobacteria; Enterobacterales; Enterobacteriaceae
Description: partial 23S ribosomal RNA
Rfam family: Bacterial large subunit ribosomal RNA
Source: RNAcentral
UAGUCGGGACCUAAGCUGAGGCCGAAAGGCGUAGGCGAUGGACAACAGGUUGAUAUUCCUGUACCACCUCUGUUCCGCUUGAGUGAGUGGCGUGACGCAGGAGGAUAGGGUGAGCGGCCUACUGGAUGGCCGUCCAAGCAGUAAGCCUGGUGUGUAGGCAAAUCCGCACACCGCUAAGGGCAAGCUGUGAUGGCGAGGGAAAUUUUAGUACCGAAGUCCCUGAUUUCACACUGCCAAGAAAAGCGUCUAGCGAGGAACAAGGUGCCCGUACCGCAAACCGACACAGGUAGGCGAGGAGAGAAUCCUAAGGUGCGCGGGAUAACUCUUGCUAAGGAACUCGGCAAAAUGGCCCCGUAACUUCGGGAGAAGGGGCGCCCCGGUAGGGUGAGGGUCCCCGCCCAACGUGAGCGUAAGCUUGCGUUGGGUGGGCUGAGCCCGAGGGGGCCGCAGUGAAAAGGCCCAAGCGACUGUUUAGCAAAAACACAGGUCUCUGCGAAGCCGCAAGGCGAAGUAUAGGGGCUGACGCCUGCCCGGUGCUGGAAGGUUAAGGGGAUGAGUUAGCGCAAGCGAAGCUUUGAACCGAAGCCCCAGUAAACGGCGGCCGUAACUAUAACGGUCCUAAGGUAGCGAAAUUCCUUGUCGGGUAAGUUCCGACCCGCACGAAAGGCGUAACGACUUGGGCGCUGUCUCGGCAAGAGACCCGGUGAAAUCAUAAUACCUGUGAAGAUGCAGGUUACCCGCGACAAGACGGAAAGACCCCAUGGAGCUUUACUGUAGCCUGGUAUUGGAACUUUGUGCAUCAUGUACAGGAUAGGUGGGAAGCUGAGAAGCAGGGGCGCCAGCCUCUGUGGAGCUGUCGGUGGGAUACCACCCUUGAUGUACG